GAUGAACGCUGGCGGCGUGCCUAAUACAUGCAAGUCGAGCGAACGGACGAGAAGCUUGCUUUUCUGAUGUUAGCGGCGGACGGGUGAGUAACACGUGGAUAACCUACCUAUAAGACUGGGAUAACUUCGGGAAACCGGAGCUACUACCGGAUAAUAUUUUGAACCGCAUGGUUCAAAAGUGAAAGACGGUCUUGCUGUCACUUAUAGAUGGAUCCGCGCUGCAUUAGCUAGUUGGUAAGGUAACGGCUUACCAAGGCAACGAUGCAUAGCCGACCUGAGAGGAUGAUCAGCCACACUGGAACUGAGACACGGUCCAGACUCCUACGGGAGGCAGCAGUAGGGAAUCUUCCGCAAUGGGCGAAAGCCUGACGGAGCAACGCCGCGUGAGUGAUGAAGGUCUUCGGAUCGUAAAGCUCUGUUAUUAGGGAAGAACAUAUGUGUAAGUAACUGUGCACAUCUUGACGGUACCUAAUCAGAAAGCCACGGCUAACUACGUG
RNAcentral lists this ribosomal RNA (497 nucleotides) under uncultured bacterium. RNAcentral describes it as "partial 16S ribosomal RNA". It matches the Rfam family "Bacterial small subunit ribosomal RNA", at positions 28 to 507 of the family's 1533-position model. The record is from RNAcentral.